GAAUAGCCUUUCGAAAGAAAGAUUAAUACCGGAUAGUAUACGAAUAUCGCAUGAUAUUUUUAUUAAAGAAUUUCGGUUAUCGAUGGGGAUGCGUUCCAUUAGUUUGUUGGCGGGGUAACGGCCCACCAAGACUACGAUGGAUAGGGGUUCUGAGAGGAAGGUCCCCCACAUUGGAACUGAGACACGGUCCAAACUCCUACGGGAGGCAGCAGUGAGGAAUAUUGGUCAAUGGGCGAGAGCCUGAACCAGCCAAGUAGCGUGAAGGAUGAAGGCUCUAUGGGUCGUAAACUUCUUUUAUAUGGGAAUAAAGUUUUCCACGUGUGGAAUUUUGUAUGUACCAUAUGAAUAAGGAUCGGCUAACUCCGUGCCAGCAGCCGCGGUAAUACGGAGGAUCCGAGCGUUAUCCGGAUUUAUUGGGUUUAAAGGGAGCGUAGGUGGAUUGUUAAGUCAGUUGUGAAAGUUUGCGGCUCAACCGUAAAAUUGCAGUUGAAACUGGCAGUCUUGAGUACAGUAGAGGUGGGCGGAAUUCGUGGUGUAGCGGUGAAAUGCUUAGAUAUCACGAAGAACUCCGAUUGCGAAGGCAGCUCACUAGACUGUCACUGACACUGAUGCUCGAAAGUGUGGGUAUCAAACAGGAUUAGAUACCCUGGUAGUCCACACAGUAAACGAUGAAUACUCGCUGUUUGCGAUAUACAGUAAGCGGCCAAG
This 708-nucleotide ribosomal RNA is filed under the name uncultured bacterium. RNAcentral describes it as "bacterial SSU rRNA". It matches the Rfam family "Bacterial small subunit ribosomal RNA", at positions 141 to 851 of the family's 1533-position model. The record is from RNAcentral.